RNAcentral lists this ribosomal RNA (1584 nucleotides) under Triticum aestivum (bread wheat). Its description in RNAcentral is "partial small subunit ribosomal RNA". The record is from RNAcentral. Lineage: Eukaryota; Viridiplantae; Streptophyta; Magnoliopsida; Poales; Poaceae.
AUGCCGGCCGAUUCACUUGGUGAUGUAUGCAGCGCUAGAACAAAAAAAAUCUUAGAAAUGGAAGAAUUCUGGGGCUGGGCAUUACGGAGCAAAGCACUGACUAGGAGAACGGCGCUAAUCUCCAAGCACCCCAGCGGGAGCAGGGCAGCUCGCGUUGGUGACCACGUCGGGGAGCGCAAGUGCCUGGGGUGGUCGUCAUCCCCGCGGCAGUCGUCGAAGUGUAGCCCCACGCCAGGGAGCAGCAGAUGCGUGGACAUGGUCGUCGCCGUCGCGAGCGCCGUCGACGCAGCCCCGUGUCAGGUGGAGCGGCAGAAACCUGGAGGUGGUUGUCGUCGACGCGCAACCUCCCUACCGCGGCUACGGCCUCCCCGGCGGCUAAAUCCGGCAACGAGAAGACGACCCCCGCCACGGUCUCAAGGCCUUGGCGCCGGCCUCCGGUGGAUCCCACAGCCGCCGCUUCAUCUGGAUGCGCGUGGGAAGCCGAAGACCCCGCCAGCCGUCGCCGGGGUGGUGGGGAGGCGCGUCGCCGGGGCAGGUGCCGGGCACGGGAGCUCCAUGGAGGGGAAGUGGUGUGGUGGCUUGCUCGUGAGUGUCAUGGAUGACACACAGUAUGGGGGACCAAGGCGGCGACGUACCGCACGACACGCAGCUCCUGCUGGUGGAGUCCAAGGCCGGGUUCAGGCCUGCGACGAGGUCGUGUUCCUCACGCUGCGUUCUGGGCCAGCCUCAAGGGCGGCGGCGCUGGCGGCGACGAGCUUCAGCUCUGCAUCUAGAGCGGCGACAUCGACACGCGCGCCAGUUCAGUUCAGUGUUAAUCUCGGUCACCGAUGGUUGAGACUAUACAAAAGGAUCAGCAAAGGAGGACUCAAGUUUGCAACCACCACAGAGAUAAGGCUAUGGAACAUUAGUGCGUGGCUGUUCUGUGCAAUUUUUCUCACAUCAAGUGUUGUAAGAUUGGAGUGUGUUGAGUAUGCAAUCUUGAUUCCAGGAAAAAAAGAUUAUGCAGUCUAUCGCACAUGUUUGGUUUGGAGGGGGCCUGUAGAUGAUGCUCACUUUGUUCACUUCCACAGCACCAUUUCAUUUUUUGACAGUGGGUUAGACAAGUGUGGUUUUCAGUUUCAGUGCUUUAUCUGCUCGUGGAGCUAUGGCUGUUGCAUUGGGCUAAGAUUUGAUUGCUUGCAGUAUGUCAAGACUUUGGGCCCACUGAACAUUAGAAGCUGCAUGGAGGAUGAGAUCAUCUAUGCCAGUGAUGGGAAGCGCACUGUGAUUAUAAUUUUGUUACUCAUGCAUAGAGCAUUUGCAUCUGAAAGCCACAGCUCCAAGAAUACGCGGAGGAGGUGGCCCGGGUCGGCGUCGGUGCCGUCCGGCACGGGCCACGGGCCCGCUUCCAAGCGCGUCUGCGCGUCGGCCACCCAUGCCGUGUCCUUCAAGUGCCACUUCCACCGCACCAACUCCCAGGGUCACGGCCAUGGCCAGGGCCAGGGAAGCUGCCCUUCUUUGCCCCCUUCACCGGCCGCGGCCAAUGCGGUGCCGCGGCACCCGGCCUCGCCGUCCUCGUCCUCCAGCACCGUCGCGACCCAGUGA